CGACCGGCGCACGGGUGAGUAACACGUAUGCAACCUGGCCGUGACAGAUGGAUAACCGGGAGAAAUCCCGCCUAAUACAGCAUGACGCCGGGAAGGGACAUCCCUUUCCGGCCAAAGGGGGCGACUCCGGUCACGGAUGGGCAUGCGGCGCAUUAGGUAGUUGGUGGGGCAACGGCUCACCAAGCCGACGAUGCGUAGGGGUUCUGAGAGGAAGGUCCCCCACAUUGGAACUGAGACACGGUCCAAACUCCUACGGAAGGCAGCAG
This 266-nucleotide ribosomal RNA is filed under the name uncultured bacterium. RNAcentral describes it as "partial 16S ribosomal RNA". It matches the Rfam family "Bacterial small subunit ribosomal RNA", at positions 92 to 354 of the family's 1533-position model. The record is from RNAcentral.